Ipomoea triloba (trilobed morning glory) is the source of this 3641-nucleotide long non-coding RNA. RefSeq lists it as uncharacterized. The transcript has 3 exons. The record is from RefSeq and is a predicted model, not a curated record. Lineage: Eukaryota; Viridiplantae; Streptophyta; Magnoliopsida; Solanales; Convolvulaceae.
GAGGAGGAGGCCCAAGAAGAAUAUACCAUGAUGGAAAGGCCGGAUGGCCCAACUGGUGCUAUUCUUUCAGGAAAAGGCAAGAGACCACAAACACAGACCAUAGAAGCCCAACUCCUAAAUGAUAAGUCGGUGCAUAACAGAGAGAAUGCUAAGGAGAGAGAAUGUUAAGGGAAGACAGACUGUGCACAAAACAGUAAGAGCACGACGAGGAACAAGAAGCAGACAAAUCAAGCAGCAGAAACAGAUAGUCACACGGUGGUUCGAGGCUAUGACAAAGGAACCCGGGUGGAGAAAACUACGAUAGACGAGGAAGGCAGCAAAACUGAAAUCUUCCAUGACCGGACCGAGACAGGGGAUCACCAUUAGGACCCGCCGGAUAGUGGUACAAUGAUAGACACAGGGGACUUGGAAGACCUUAUGACUGAUGUGGUGUUUAUUGUUGGCCAGUCUUCGACUGGUACUGGUGGGGGUGUUCUGUGAGCUCCCGUCGCUGUGCAGGUUUGCUGUUGUUUUUUGUUUUCUCCUUUUUGGUGUGUUUUUUAUGAAGAUUUUUAGCUGGAACUGCCAGGGGGCUACGUCCUAUGGGUUUAGGCGUGCUCUCCUACUGUUGGUUAACAAAGUAAAGACUGAUUUGGUUGGCUUUUUAGAACUAAGGAUCUCGGGUUUUACUGCGAAUAAGGCAUACAAGAAUUUUGGUUUUGAUAAUUGGAUUAGAGUGGAAGUGGUUGGGUUCAGUGGGGGGCAUCUAGCUCAUGUGGAGAAAGAAUAUUGAAGUGGAAGUUCUCGCCACUAACCCCCAAUUAUUGUUAACAAGAGUCAGCAAGGGUAACGAAAAGGUGCAAUUGGUGCCGUUUGUGUAUGACAACCCAUCGCACUACCUUAGAAACAAACUGUGGGAGAAUUUGUCUAAAGAUAAACUCCCCUUAAACAAAGAAUGGAUCAUAGUGGGGGAUUACAACGCCAUGACAUGCAUGGAAGACGGUGGCAACAAGGACAAUUUCCACAACCACAGAUGUGCAGGUAUGAGACAUUGGAUUUUUAAAGAAGGAUUAAUUGAUAUGGGUUUUGUUGGUGCCAGGUACACAUCGACGAGAGGAAGAGAUAUUUCAACUUUUACUGGAGCAAGACUUGACCGAGCACUCUGCAAUCUGGAUUGGAUCACCAAGUAUCCAAAUACUAAGGUGUUUCACUUGCCAAGGGUGUGUUCGGACCAUUCCCCGCUGCUUAUCGAACUUGGGAACACGACCGAGAAUCACAAGAGUUUUACCUUCCACUUCCAAGCAACAUGGAGCAAACACCCGGGCUUCCAAAAUAUGGUAAAGUAGCGCUGGGAUAUAAAUAAACCGAUCUUGGAUAAUCUCUUGAGAAUGUGGACCAGCUGCGUUAAGUGGAGCAAAGAGGAAUUCGGCAAUAUUGAAAGGAAAAAACAGAACUUUAUGGCACGGAUUGAAGGAAUUCAAAGGAAAAUGGAUAGCCAUCUGCACAAUGGGCUUCUUAAGCUUGAGAGGAAAAUUCGUGUGGAACUCGAAAAAGUCCUCCACCAAGAGGAGCUCAAAUGGUUUCAAAAAUCAAAAGAGGAAUGGAUCCUUUCGGGAGAUCUUAACACCAAAUUCUACCAUGCUACAACAUGGUCAGGCGCACAAGAGGGAAAAUUCACGGGCUCAAAAACAGUGAUGAUACCUGGGUUCAUGACAUGAAGCAGUUAGAAAGUAUGGUCUAGGAAUACUAUAAACAGCUAUACACUAAGGAGGAUGUGACUGUUGAAGUUGACGAAUUGAGUGGGUUCCUAGGAUCGACGACGGGAAGUGGAACCUGGUGAAUAGAGGGAUCACUAAAGACGAGGUUGAAGAAGCUAUGAUGGUCAUGGCACCGGGACCCGAUGGCUUUCAUGCCAUGUUUUACCAAAAAAAAAUUGGAAUAUUGUAGGGGAAUAUUUGUACAAGUUGGUCGAAAGGUUCUUCAUAGAGGGAAUCCUCUCGGAAGGCCUUAAUGAAACUAACCUGGUUCUCAUUCCCAAAGUAGAGAACUCGGAAAGGGUUAACCAGUUAAGGCCGAUCAGUUUGUGCAAUGUUGCAUACAAACUGGUUACUAAGGUCAUGACGAACAGACUAAAGGGUGUAAUGUCGGACCUUGUGAGCCCGAAUCAAAGUAGCUUCGUGGCAGACAGGCAAAUCACAGAUAACAUUGUUAUCUACCAGGAAAUCCUACACACUAUAAGGACCGAGAGAGGCAGCACUGGUUGCAUGGUGCUAAAGAUUGAUCUGGAGAAAGCGUACGAUCGGCUAGAUUGGAGGUUUAUUUGGUCCACGCUUAAGGAAAUUGGUCUGAACAAUAAUUAUAUUAGAAAUAUAAUGAGCUGCGUGGAAACUGCGAGAAUGUCAAUUCUCUGGGAUGGAAGGAAUCUUGAAAGAUUUAAACCGGAGAGAGGAGUUUGGUAGGGAGACGUCAUCUCGCCAUAUUUAUUUGUCCUCUGUAUAGAGCGCUUUGGGCACAUCAUCACCAAAGCGAAGCCCAGGGAGAAAGCGAAGAAGCUAGCAAAUAUGGCCGGCAUUCCAAUGACCUCGGACUUAGGUAGAUACCUGGGGGUACCUUCGCUCCAUGGGAGGAUAACAAAGGAUCACUGCAAAAGCAUUUUGGACAGAGUCCAGAGCAGAUUAAAGGGAUGGAAGACUCGCUACCUCAGCUUGGUAGGAAGACAAAUACUGAUACAGUCUGUCCUCAACGCAAUCCCGUCCCACACCAAGCAAACUAUGCUCAUCCCGGAAGGAGUGUGCGAUUCAAUAGACAAGACCACGAGGAGUUUCCUAUGGGGAGGCGAUGGCAUGAAAAGGAAGACCAGCUUAGUGAAGUGGAACACGAUCACGCAACCUAAAGGGGAAGGCAGACUAGGGAUCAAAUCCAUGCGUAGCAUGAACAUGGCGCUACUGGCUAAACUAGGAUGGAGAAUGCUCAAGGAGAACAAUGACACUUGGGCUCGCACUAAUCUAUACUUAAUGCCGGCUAUAUAAGAAGCUCAUAAUCGAAGUUGGUCCGCACACUAGAUGAAGCAGAAGAUGACGACAUUAUACCCAAGAAGAUUUAGGCGUUGUGUUUACGAACCCCAUGCGACAAAUGGCGAAUCGUGAGUUGGAUGGAGAUUGUGUCGAUGACAAUUAUCAGAUAAUGAAUCAAUGGCGAAGGGAGGGUGAUCUGAGUUUGAUGAAGGGCUAGGGUUUGCUCCUUAUAUUUACUGACCUGGAAUAUAUUGCUAUUAUUUCCAUUUCCAGGUCAACAAUGCGCAUCGCCAACCGGAUGGUAACCUGCGAAAUAGGCUUAUCGAACGAAUUUAAAAGAAUGGAGGGACCCAUUGUCCCGAAGAUUAGCGACGCCUACAAGUCGCUACACUAGCAACAUCACGCUGGAGGAGGAUAACCAAGCCAUCCGGGGGGUGCUCCAAGAUAGUCAAGCCAUGCAGGGAGAGUUGACCAAGAUUAGCUAAGAAAUCCGCACACUGGUUACCCUCCCGAAAAGUAUGGAUGAUCUUCGCUUCAUGAAACUGGUUCAGGAGGAAUUUACAGUCAAUAUUAUUACGUGCAAUAUUAUUAUUAUAUUUUUUCAAUAAAUUUGGUUCAAUAUGUUACUAGUCAUAAUCACUUACCAAA